UUGGAGAUCAGGCCCAGGGCAGCACACACACACCCAUCAAUGGCUCUCUCCCCUCCCUGCUGCUGUCACCCAAAGGGGAGGUGGCCAGAGCCCCCUUGCCACUGGAUAAACAGGCCCUCGGUGACAUCCCCCAGGCUCCCCAUGACUCUCUUCCAGUCUCUCCAACUCCAAAAACCCCUCCCUGCCAAGCCAGACUUGCCAAGCUGGAUGAAGAUGAGCUGUAACUGGUGAAAACCAUGGGGGUGGUGCUGACUCAGCCGCCUAUUCCCCAAGGAGCUUCAGGGCAGUCCUUCUGGCACUGCUCCAGAAUUCCUCCUUCUUGGUGUGUCUGGAGGGUGGGCAAGGCUGGGAGGGAUAUCAACUUGGAGGAGAGCACCUAGACCCAAGGACUUUUUUCCGCCCAAGGAACACAGUUUCCUUCAGCUCCCACCCCCAUGCAUGCAUCACGGUCCCCCCAAAAGGAGGAUAUGUGGGUGGGUGGGAGGGCUGGGGCAGGGGCCAGAUAGAAAUUAUUGGUUUUGUUUUUUAAUUUUGUUUUUCCUGUUUUCUGAGAAUAAAGGUUUUGUUAUAUCACCGAGGCUGCUGUCUUGGCAGAGGGAAGGGAAGGCUGUAGUGGGGCCACCCCAGAGCCAGCGAUCAGAUCCGGCCAAGGAUGUCUGCAGAAACGCCUAACAUAGAGACUCUCCC
This 687-nucleotide small RNA is filed under the name Pongo abelii (Sumatran orangutan). RNAcentral's name for it is "processed transcript". Lineage: Eukaryota; Metazoa; Chordata; Mammalia; Primates; Hominidae. The record is from RNAcentral.